Molecule: ribosomal RNA, 478 nt
Filed under: uncultured bacterium
Lineage: Bacteria
Description: partial 16S ribosomal RNA
Rfam family: Bacterial small subunit ribosomal RNA
Source: RNAcentral
GAUGAACGCUGGCGGCGUGCUUAACACAUGCAAGUCGAACGGUAAGGCCCUUCGGGGUACACGAGUGGCGAACGGGUGAGUAACACGUGGGUGAUCUGCCCUGCACUUCGGGAUAAGCCUGGGAAACUGGGUCUAAUACCGGAUAGGACCACUGCCUGCAUGGGUGGUGGUGGAAAGCUUUUGCGGUGUGGGAUGGGCGCGCGGCCUAUCAGCUUGUUGGUGGGGUGAUGGCCUACCAAGGCGACGACGGGUAGCCGGCCUGGGAGGGUGACCGGCCACACUGGGACUGAGAUACGGCCCAGACUCCUACGGGAGGCAGCAGUGGGGAAUAUUGCACAAUGGGCGCAAGCCUGAUGCAGCGACGCCGCGUGAGGGAUGACGGCCUUCGGGUUGUAAACCUCUUUCAGCACCGACGAAGCGCAAGUGACGGUAGGUGCAGAAGAAGGACCGGCCAACUACGUGCCAGCCGCCGCAGUAA